AUUCUGAUUGACAUGAUGAAAUGCAAUAUGAAAUGCUAAAUGAAUGCAUGAAUGAGGAGGGCAAAUUUUGGGGUGUUACACUCUUAACCCUGGCCGGGGUGAGCUCAUGACAAAGAGAGCGUGGGGAUCUAGAAAGUGAGAUCCUAUUCCACUUGACAGACACUGGACAAAGAUCUUGGGUACAUGUUCAAAAGCAUCAGCAUAUAGUGCGAGCAUAAUGAACGACUCACUGAAUAACGGAGGAUUGACUACUAAUCCCUUUU
Molecule: long non-coding RNA, 263 nt
Filed under: Lathyrus oleraceus (garden pea)
Lineage: Eukaryota; Viridiplantae; Streptophyta; Magnoliopsida; Fabales; Fabaceae
Description: Pisum sativum (pea) long non-coding RNA (PSAT_LNC011909)
Source: RNAcentral